AGUUUAAAAUGUCCAGACGCUGUAUGAACAGGCUUCCCUGGGUUGUAGUUUGGACAGGUGGGACAAGUAACCUUGUUAAUGUUUCCUCACCAAUACUGAUUCAUGAAGGCUCUCAUUCUGUCACAGACUGAAGGUUUAAUGAAUGCACAGUGGUGAGUGAGAAUUUUAGAGUCUCCAGUAGGACUGGCUUGUUAUUUGGUCAAAACCAGAGCUUUCUCUUUUUAUCAAACCAACAAUUGUUGAAUUUCCAAACUUGUUUUUCCUUUUCUGACGCCAACUGUUGAGUCUUUCUAUAGCCAGUUUAAAAAAAAAAAAAAAAACUAUUAUUGGGGGAAAUAUCCACUUGGACCACAACAGAAGUUUGACUGCUCUUCAUUCCUUCAAGGGCAGCAUUCCUUGCAGAAACAUCACUAAGUGAUUUCCUUGGUUUCCAGAGAGUCAAGUUUAGAACCCCCAGAAUCUUAACAGCUAAAGUGACAGUUAAAAAUAUUAUAUUCAGUAAUUCCUGAACGUAAGGGCCAUUUUAAAUUUUAUUUCCACUGGAAGUAGGGAAGCUACAUUGCUUCCAUAACAUUCCAGAAUCAUGAGCUGCUCCGUGGAUAAAUAUUGCCAGUUUUGUCCUUGCCUAAAGUAUAAGCACAGGCACCAGUGUGCAGUUCAGCCUGCUGGGCUGAAGUAGCCACAGGCAAAGAUGACGCCGCAACAGCAUCACGUUGUAACAGCAUAACAAGCACGUUGCCAUUGUGGACAAAAGGUUCCACUGUCAACUUUUAAAAUUAGACCAUCCAUGAACUAUGAGAAAUCGAUGUUACUGCAUGGAAUUUCUAGUAGACCAUUCUAAGGAGCCAGGAAGCAUUCAGCAUUAGGAAGUCAUGAGGUACUUCGCUGGUGACCGAGGGAAGAGUAGCCAGGUUAAGGGUAUUAUUGUUAUUGUUGUUGUUAUUAUGGUUGUUAUAAAAUAAAAGGGUGAAGAACAGUUAACAAAAGCCCUUCACAGGAGGUGAGGUGACAAGCUGAGGAAUGUUGAGUGUGAUGAGAAUUCAGGAAAGCUGCUACUUCAUGAGAUACAAAAGUGGUCAAAGGGGAUUCCACGAUGGUUUUCUCGAUGGCCUUAGCCAAAAGGGCAGUGACUGUGAGCCUCUAAGACAAGGUCCAGUUGCUGGCUAUAAUACUCUAUGGGUUGAUGGUGGUCCCCAUGUUUUUGAGUGAGCACCCCAAAGGCAGUCCCUUCCUGCUCAUAAAAAAAAAAAAAAAAAGGAAAUGUGAUAAUUGGGAUGCCUGAGGGCAGGUAGGUUCAUCAGACUCUCCUUUAAGGCCUUGAAGACUUUGUAAUCCAGUUCUUCCCAUAAAAGUGGGUCAUUAUUGUGGAGAAUAGCAUAUAGAAGUUUGGCCAUCAGAGAGAAAUAACCAACUAACCCGAGAAACUCUUGCAGUUGGCACUUAGUUUUGGGUUUGGGGAAACUUAGGACAUCAUGAAGUCUAUCUGGAUCUAGGUGUAGCCCUUGUUCUAAUAUCAGAUGUCCCAAAUAUUGAACCUGGAUUUGGGCAAACUGCGAUUUUUCUUUAGCGACCUUCUGUCCCUUUAAGGCUAAAAGCUUUAGUAAGUGAAUCUUUAUUUAGCAAGCUGUUUUCCUCUGAGGAGUCUUGAGAAGGAGUGUAAAGAAGCAAAUCAUUCACUUACUGCAACAAAGUUUAACUUCUAGGGAACUUUCUGUCCUGCAGAUCAGGCUUUGGGAUUUGCAAGAAAUAAAAAAGGACUCUUAGUAAAACCCUGUGGCAUUAGUGUCCAAGUGAAUUGUUUUUCUUCCUAAGUGAAGGGGAAAAGGUAUUGGGCAGCUUCGUCGACUGGAAUACCAAAGAAUGCACCGCACAAACCAGUUACAGUCCUGGGCAAACCUCCUUCAGCCCUUAGGUUUCCUCACCAGUAAAAUGGGAGUGUUACAAGGCUGGUCUGGGGUCUACAUGCUUGUGGUCAGCAGUUUCCAUCUGGUGGGGAUCAGAUCAUUACAAGAUAUUGAAUGUGGUUCGCUGUGCUAUACAGUCUCUCCAGUUCCACUCCCUCCCGAUUCUCAUCUGUGAUCUUUCUUCCUGCAGAAAGACAACACAACACCAGAGAAGUGUGUUCUUUGCCUACUGGCAGAGAAAGGGAUUCUGCUAGCGCAGCUGAGGGGGGGCAAUUAAAAGCAUGUUUUAAAUAUUUCCUUGGUUAAAAGCAUUAAGUUUGAUAAAGACUCUCUCUCUCACUCACUAAACUCUAGAUUUACAUCUGAUAAUACUGGGUAGUGUGAACAAAAAUACUGCAACCAUAUCAGUAAACAAAGAAUGCUGAAACCAAGUCAUCAGCGGCUGCCGCCACCCCCAAGUAAGGACAGGCCUGCAGCCCAGCCUCUGCAGUCACUCACAAAGGUGCACUCUGAGUGGACUCAGAAUAAGCAAGGACAGGAUACUGGCCCUAGAUAGCUAGGUGCUUGUCAAAGGAAUGAAUUCAGUGAGCCCAAAUGUUUGCUUCCUCCUAUACAUAGAAAAGCACUCAAUUCUUUAACUUGAGAUGCCUGGUUUUCUUUAGAUAACAAGCAAUCUUUUAUUGUUCCAACUACCUGGUCUUUGUUGUAAAGCUCCUAUAUAUCCUAGCUCCUCCCCUACCUCUUCGGAGCAGUCCCUCAGAGCAAUCUGAGAGGCUGUCAUCCCGGCUCGAGUCCUCCCGCCAAAUAAAACAUAACUCUUAACUUU
Long non-coding RNA from Camelus dromedarius (Arabian camel), 2730 nucleotides. RefSeq lists it as uncharacterized. NCBI's taxonomy places the organism in Eukaryota, Metazoa, Chordata, Mammalia, Artiodactyla, Camelidae. The record is from RefSeq and is a predicted model, not a curated record. The transcript has 5 exons.